CCUACGGGCGGCAGCAGUGGGGAAUAUUGCACAAUGGGGGAAACCCUGAUGCAGCGACGCCGCGUGCGGGAAGAAGUAUUUCGUUAUGGAAAGCUCCUUCAGUAGGGAAGAAAAUGACGGUACCUGAGUAAGAAGCACCGGCUAACUACAUGCCAGCAGCCGCGGUAAUACGUAGGGUGCAAGCGUUAUCCGGAUUUCACGGGUGUAAAGGGGGCGUAGACGGCAGUGCAAGUCUGGAGUGAAAGGCGGGGGCUCAACCCCCGGACUGCGCGGGAAACUGUACGGCUGGAGUGUAGGAGAGGUAAGUGGAAUUCCUGGUGUAGCGGUGAAAUGCGUAGAUAUCAGGAGGAACACCAGUGGCGAAGGCGGCUUACUGGACUGUAACUGACGUUGAGGCUCGAAAGCGUGGGUAUCAAACAGGAUUAGAUACCCGUGUAGUC
This 440-nucleotide ribosomal RNA is filed under the name uncultured bacterium. Its description in RNAcentral is "partial 16S ribosomal RNA". It matches the Rfam family "Bacterial small subunit ribosomal RNA", at positions 338 to 795 of the family's 1533-position model. The record is from RNAcentral.